Molecule: ribosomal RNA, 1214 nt
Filed under: metagenome
Description: bacterial SSU rRNA
Rfam family: Bacterial small subunit ribosomal RNA
Source: RNAcentral
CGAUCGGUCACACUGGGACUGAGACACUGCCCAGACUCCUACGGGAGGCUGCAGUCGAGAAUCUUCCGCAAUGGGCGAAAGCCUGACGGAGCGACACCGCGUGCAGGAUGAAGGCCUUCGGGUUGUAAACUGCUGUCACGCUAUAGGAAAGCCAUGUCGUUAAUAGCUGCAUGGUUGACCAAAGCGAGAGGAAGCACCGGCUAACUCCGUGCCAGCAGCCGCGGUAAGACGGAGGGUGCGAACGUUGUUCGGAAUCACUGGGCAUAAAGCGCACGUAGGCGGCUUGGUCAGUCAGAUGUGAAAGCCCCCGGCUCAACCGGGGAACUGCGUCUGAUACUGCCUGGCUCGAGGACGGUUGGGGUGAGUGGAACUCCUGGUGGAGCGGUGAAAUGCGUAGAUAUCAGGAGGAACACCAGUGGCGAAAGCGACUCACUGGACCGUUUCUGACGCUGAGGUGCGAAAGCUAGGGGAGCGAACGGGAUUAGAUACCCCGGUAGUCCUAGCCGUAAACGAUGGGCACUAGGUAGGGGGAAUACCUAUGGUUUUCCCUGCCGUAGCAAAUGUGUUAAGUGCCCCGCCUGGGGAGUACGCUCGCAAGGGUAAAACUCAAAGGAAUUGACGGGGGCUCACACAAGCGGUGGAGCAUGUGGAUUAAUUCGAAGCAACGCGAAGAACCUUACCUGGCCUUGACAUCCACGGAUUAACUCCCUGAAAGGGGAGCAACAACUCUUCGGAGUCGGAACGUGGACAGGUGUUGCAUGGCUGUCGUCAGCUCGUGUCGUGAGAUGUUGGGUUAAGUCCCGUAACGAGCGCAACCCUUGUCGCUAGUUGCCAGCGCGUAAUGGCGGGGACUCUAGCGAGACUGCCGGUGUCAAACCGGAGGAAGGUGGGGACGACGUCAAGUCAUCAUGGCCCUUAUGGCCAGGGCGUCACACGUGCUACAAUGGUCUGUACAGAGGGUUCCAAGACCGUGAGGUGGAGGCAAUCCCACAAAGCAGGCCCCAGUUCGGAUUGCAGGCUGCAAUUCGCCUGCAUGAAGCCGGAAUCGCUAGUAAUCGCGUAUCAGCCAUGACGCGGUGAAUAUGUUCCUGAGCCUUGUACACACUGCCCGUCAAGCCACGAAAGCGGGGAGCGCUCGAAGUCGCUCUGUCUAACCUUCGGGAGGACGGCGCCGAAAGCGAGUUCCGUGAUUGGGACUAAGUCGUAACAAGGUA